RNAcentral lists this ribosomal RNA (217 nucleotides) under uncultured Streptococcus sp. Its description in RNAcentral is "partial 16S ribosomal RNA". It matches the Rfam family "Bacterial small subunit ribosomal RNA", at positions 1165 to 1382 of the family's 1533-position model. Lineage: Bacteria; Bacillati; Bacillota; Bacilli; Lactobacillales; Streptococcaceae. The record is from RNAcentral.
GGAGGAAGGUGGGGAUGACGUCAAAUCAUCAUGCCCUUAUGACCUGGGCUACACACGUGCUACAAUGGUUGGUACAACGAGUUGCGAGUCGGUGACGGCGAGCUAAUCUCUUAAAGCCAAUCUCAGUUCGGAUUGUAGGCUGCAACUCGCCUACAUGAAGUCGGAAUCGCUAGUAAUCGCGGAUCAGCACGCCGCGGUGAAUACGUUCCCGGGCCUU